AUUGAACGCUGGCGGAAUGCUUUACACAUGCAAGUCGAGCGGCAGCGCGGGGCAACCUGGCGGCGAGCGGCGAACGGGUGAGUAAUAUAUCGGAACGUACCCAGUCGUGGGGGAUAACACAGCGAAAGUUGUGCUAAUACCGCAUACGUCCUGAGGGAGAAAGCGGGGGAUCGCAAGACCUCGCGCGAUUGGAGCGGCCGAUAUCGGAUGAGCUAGUUGGUGAGGUAAAGGCUCACCAAGGCGACGAUCCGUAGCUGGUCUGAGAGGAUGAUCAGCCACACUGGAACUGAGACACGGUCCAGACUCCUACGGGAGGCAGCAGUGGGGAAUUUUGGACAAUGGGCGAAAGCCUGAUCCAGCCAUUCCGCGUGAGUGAAGAAGGCCUUCGGGUUGUAAAGCUCUUUCGGCAGGAACGAAACGGUCUUGGUUAAUACCCGAGGCUAAUGACGGUACCUGGAGGAGAAGCACCGGCUAACUACGUGCCAGCAGCCGCGGUAA
RNAcentral lists this ribosomal RNA (498 nucleotides) under uncultured bacterium. Its description in RNAcentral is "partial 16S ribosomal RNA". It matches the Rfam family "Bacterial small subunit ribosomal RNA", at positions 29 to 523 of the family's 1533-position model. The record is from RNAcentral.